Molecule: unclassified non-coding RNA, 203 nt
Filed under: soil metagenome
Description: partial contains 5.8S ribosomal RNA, internal transcribed spacer 2, and large subunit ribosomal RNA
Source: RNAcentral
AACCUAGCACACCUGCGGUGUGUACCUGCGGAAGGAUCAUUACCUAGAGUUGUAGGCUUUGCCUGCUAUCUCUUACCCAUGUCUUUUGAGUACCUUACGUUUCCUCGGUGGGUUCGCCCGCCGGUUGGACAAAACUUAAACCCUUUGUAGUUGCAAUCAGCGUCUGAAAAAACUUAACAGUUACAACUUUCAGCAACGGAUCU